This 517-nucleotide ribosomal RNA is filed under the name uncultured bacterium. RNAcentral describes it as "bacterial SSU rRNA". It matches the Rfam family "Bacterial small subunit ribosomal RNA", at positions 9 to 520 of the family's 1533-position model. The record is from RNAcentral.
GAGUUUGAUCCUGGCUCAGAUUGAACGCUGGCGGCAGGCCUAACACAUGCAAGUCGGGCGGUAGAGAGAAGCUUGCUUCUCUUGAGAGCGGCGGACGGGUGAGUAAUGCCUAGGAAUCUGCCUGGUAGUGGGGGAUAACGCUCGGAAACGGACGCUAAUACCGCAUACGUCCUACGGGAGAAAGCAGGGGACCUUCGGGCCUUGCGCUAUCAGAUGAGCCUAGGUCGGAUUAGCUAGUUGGUGAGGUAAUGGCUCACCAAGGCGACGAUCCGUAACUGGUCUGAGAGGAUGAUCAGUCACACUGGAACUGAGACACGGUCCAGACUCCUACGGGAGGCAGCAGUGGGGAAUAUUGGACAAUGGGCGAAAGCCUGAUCCAGCCAUGCCGCGUGUGUGAAGAAGGUCUUCGGAUUGUAAAGCACUUUAAGUUGGGAGGAAGGGCAGUAAAUUAAUACUUUGCUGUUUUGACGUUACCGACAGAAUAAGCACCGGCUAACUCUGUGCCAGCCGCCGACCG